UACGAAGGGGGCUAGCGUUGUUCGGAAUCACUGGGCGUAAAGCGCACGUAGGCGGACAUUUAAGUCAGGGGUGAAAUCCUGGAGCUCAACUCCAGAACUGCCUUUGAUACUGGGUGUCUCGAGUCCGGAAGAGGUAAGUGGAACUGCGAGUGUAGAGGUGAAAUUCGUAGAUAUUCGCAAGAACACCAGUGGCGAAGGCGGCUUACUGGUCCGGUACUGACGCUGAGGUGCGAAAGCGUGGGGAGCAAACAGG
This 253-nucleotide ribosomal RNA is filed under the name uncultured bacterium. RNAcentral's name for it is "partial 16S ribosomal RNA". It matches the Rfam family "Bacterial small subunit ribosomal RNA", at positions 524 to 776 of the family's 1533-position model. The record is from RNAcentral.